This 561-nucleotide ribosomal RNA is filed under the name uncultured bacterium. RNAcentral's name for it is "bacterial SSU rRNA". It matches the Rfam family "Bacterial small subunit ribosomal RNA", at positions 8 to 558 of the family's 1533-position model. The record is from RNAcentral.
AGACUUUGAUUCUGGCUCAGAUUGAACGCUAGCGGGAUGCUUUACACAUGCAAGUCGAACGGCAGCGCGGACUUCGGUCUGGCGGCGAGUGGCGAACGGGUGAGUAAUGCCUAGGAAUCUGCCUGGUAGUGGGGGAUAACUCGGGGAAACUCGAGCUAAUACCGCAUACGUCCUACGGGAGAAAGCGGGGGAUCUUCGGACCUCGCGCUACCAGAUGAGCCUAGGUCGGAUUAGCUAGUUGGUGAGGUAAAGGCUCACCAAGGCGACGAUCCGUAGCUGGUCUGAGAGGAUGAUCAGCCACACUGGAACUGAGACACGGUCCAGACUCCUACGGGAGGCAGCAGUGGGGAAUAUUGGACAAUGGGCGAAAGCCUGAUCCAGCCAUGCCGCGUGUGUGAAGAAGGUCUUCGGAUUGUAAAGCACUUUAAGUUGGGAGGAAGGGCAGUAAGUUAAUACCCUUGCUGUUUUGACGUUACCGACAGAAAAAGCACCGGCUAACUUCGUGCCCAGCAGCCCGGGGUAAUACCAAAGGGUGCAAGGCGUAAAUCCGGAAUUACUGGG